CGUGGAUAACCUACCUAUAAGACUGGGAUAACUUCGGGAAACCGGAGCUAAUACCGGAUAAUAUAUUGAACCGCAUGGUUCAAUGUGAAAGACGGUUUUGCUGUCACUUAUAGNAUGGAUCCGCGCCGCAUUAGCUAGUUGGUAAGGUAACGGCUUACCAAGGCAACGAUGCGUAGCCGACCUGAGAGGGUGAUCGGCCACACUGGAACUGAGACACGGUCCAGACUCCUACGGGAGGCAGCAGCC
This 246-nucleotide ribosomal RNA is filed under the name uncultured Staphylococcus sp. RNAcentral's name for it is "partial 16S ribosomal RNA". It matches the Rfam family "Bacterial small subunit ribosomal RNA", at positions 116 to 355 of the family's 1533-position model. The record is from RNAcentral. Lineage: Bacteria; Bacillati; Bacillota; Bacilli; Caryophanales; Staphylococcaceae.